GACGAACGCUGGCGGCGUGCCUAAUACAUGCAAGUCGAACGCUGAAGGAGGAGCUUGCUUCUCUGGAUGAGUUGCGAACGGGUGAGUAACGCGUAGGGAACCCGCCUGGUAGCGGGGGAGAACUAUUGGAAAAGAUAGCUAAUACAGCGUAAUAGCUGUUGUUGCAUGACAACUGUUUGAAAGAUGCAAUUGCACCACUACUAGAUGGACGUGCGUCGUAUUAGUUAGUUGGUGGGGUAACGGCCCACCAAAGCGACGAUACAUAGCCGGCCUGAGAGGGGGGACGGCCACACUGGGAAUGAGACACGGCCCAGACCCCUACGGGAGGCAGCCGUAGGGGAUCUUCGGCAAUGGGCGGAAGUCUGACCGGGGAACGCCGGGGGAGUGAAGGAAGGUUUCCGAUCGUAAAGCUCUGGUGUAAGGGGAGAACGAGUGUGGGAGUGAACAAUGCACACUUUGACGGUAUCUUACCAGAAAGCCACGGCUAACUACGUG
Molecule: ribosomal RNA, 495 nt
Filed under: uncultured bacterium
Lineage: Bacteria
Description: partial 16S ribosomal RNA
Rfam family: Bacterial small subunit ribosomal RNA
Source: RNAcentral